ACGAAGAGUUUGAUCCUGGCUCAGGAUGAACGCUAGCGACAGGCUUAACACAUGCAAGUCGAGGGGCAGCGGGGGUAGCGAUACCCGCCGGCGACCGGCGCACGGGUGAGUAACGCGUAUGCAACUUACCUAUCAGAGGGGGAUAACCCGGCGAAAGUCGGACUAAUACCGCAUGAAGCAGGGGCCCCGCAUGGGGAUAUUUGCUAAAGAUUCAUCGCUGAUAGAUAGGCAUGCGUUCCAUUAGGCAGUUGGCGGGGUAACGGCCCACCAAACCGACGAUGGAUAGGGGUUCUGAGAGGAAGGUCCCCCACAUUGGUACUGAGACACGGACCAAACUCCUACGGGAGGCAGCAGUGAGGAAUAUUGGUCAAUGGCCGAGAGGCUGAACCAGCCAAGUCGCGUGAGGGAUGAAGGUUCUAUGGAUCGUAAACCUCUUUUAUAAGGGAAUAAAGUGCGGGACGUGUCCCGUUUUGUAUGUACCUUAUGAAUAAGGAUCGGCUAACUCCGUGCCAGCAGCCGCGGUAAUACGGAGGAUCCGAGCGUUAUCCGGAUUUAUUGGGUUUAAAGGGUGCGUAGGCGGCCUUUUAAGUCAGCGGUGAAAGUCUGUGGCUCAACCAUAGAAUUGCCGUUGAAACUGGGGGGCUUGAGUAUGUUUGAGGCAGGCGGAAUGCGUGGUGUAGCGGUGAAAUGCAUAGAUAUCACGCAGAACCCCGAUUGCGAAGGCAGCCUGCCAAGCCAUUACUGACGCUGAUGCACGAAAGCGUGGGGAUCAAACAGGAUUAGAUACCCUGGUAGUCCACGCAGUAAACGAUGAUCACUAGCUGUUUGCGAUACACUGUAAGCGGCACAGCGAAAGCGUUAAGUGAUCCACCUGGGGAGUACGCCGGCAACGGUGAAACUCAAAGGAAUUGACGGGGGCCCGCACAAGCGGAGGAACAUGUGGUUUAAUUCGAUGAUACGCGAGGAACCUUACCCGGGUUUGAACGCAUUCGGACCGAGGUGGAAACACCUUUUCUAGCAAUAGCCGUUUGCGAGGUGCUGCAUGGUUGUCGUCAGCUCGUGCCGUGAGGUGUCGGCUUAAGUGCCAUAACGAGCGCAACCCUUGCCACUAGUUACUAACAGGUAAAGCUGAGGACUCUGGUGGGACUGCCAGCGUAAGCUGCGAGGAAGGCGGGGAUGACGUCAAAUCAGCACGGCCCUUACAUCCGGGGCGACACACGUGUUACAAUGGCGUGGACAAAGGGAGGCCACCUGGCGACAGGGAGCGAAUCCCCAAACCACGUCUCAGUUCGGAUCGGAGUCUGCAACCCGACUCCGUGAAGCUGGAUUCGCUAGUAAUCGCGCAUCAGCCAUGGCGCGGUGAAUACGUUCCCGGGCCUUGUACACACCGCCCGUCAAGCCAUGGGAGCCGGGGGUACCUGAAGUCCGUAACCGCGAGGAUCGGCCUAGGGUAAAACUGGUGACUGGGGCUAAGUCGUAACAAGGUAGCCGUACCGGAAGGUGCGGCUGGAACACCUCCUUU
RNAcentral lists this ribosomal RNA (1522 nucleotides) under Parabacteroides distasonis. Its description in RNAcentral is "16S ribosomal RNA". It matches the Rfam family "Bacterial small subunit ribosomal RNA". The record is from RNAcentral. Lineage: Bacteria; Pseudomonadati; Bacteroidota; Bacteroidia; Bacteroidales; Tannerellaceae.